CCUACGUGAGGCAGCAGUGAGGAAUAUUGGUCAAUGGACGAGAGUCUGAACCAGCCAAGUAGCGUGAAGGAUGACUGCCCUAUGGGUUGUAAACUUCUUUUAUAUGGGAAUAAAACAGGGUAUGCAUACCCUCUUGUAUGUACCAUAUGAAUAAGGAUCGGCUGACUCCGUGCCAGCAGCCGCGGUAAUACGGAGGAUCCGAGCGUUAUCCGGAUUUAUUGGGUUUAAAGGGAGCGUAGGGUGAUUGUUAAUUCAGUUGUGAAAGUUUGCGGCUCAACCGUAAAAUUGCAGUUGAAACUGGCAGUCUUGAGUACAGUAGACGUUGGCGGAAUUCGUGGUGUAGCGGUGACAUGCUUCGCUCUCACGAAGAACUCCGAUUGCGAAGGCAGCUCACUGAACUGCACCUGACACUGAUGCUCGAAAGUGUGGGUAUCACACAGGAUUAGAUACCCCAGUAGUC
This 460-nucleotide ribosomal RNA is filed under the name uncultured bacterium. Its description in RNAcentral is "partial 16S ribosomal RNA". It matches the Rfam family "Bacterial small subunit ribosomal RNA", at positions 338 to 795 of the family's 1533-position model. The record is from RNAcentral.